GAUGAGUAGGGCGGGACACGUGGUAUCCUGUCUGAAUAUGGGGGGACCAUCCUCCAAGGCUAAAUACUCCUGACUGACCGAUAGUGAACCAGUACCGUGAGGGAAAGGCGAAAAGAACCCCGGCGAGGGGAGUGAAAAAGAACCUGAAACCGUGUACGUACAAGCAGUGGGAGCACAGAGCAAUCUGUGUGACUGCGUACCUUUUGUAUAAUGGGUCAGCGACUUAUAUUCUGUAGCAAGGUUAACCGAAUAGGGGAGCCGAAGGGAAACCGAGUCUUAACCGGGCGUUAAGUUGCAGGGUAUAGACCCGAAACCCGGUGAUCUAGCCAUGGGCAGGUUGAAGGUUGGGUAACACUAACUGGAGGACCGAACCGACUAAUGUUGAAAAAUUAGCGGAUGACUUGUGGCUGGGGGUGAAAGGCCAAUCAAACCGGGAGAUAGCUGGUUCUCCCCGAAAGCUAUUUAGGUAGCGCCUCGUGAAUUCAUCUCCGGGGGUAGAGCACUGUUUCGGCAAGGGGGUCAUCCCGACUUACCAACCCGAUGCAAACUGCGAAUACCGGAGAAUGUUAUCACGGGAGACACACGGCGGGUGCUAACGUCCGUCGUGAAGAGGGAAACAACCCAGACCGCCAGCUAAGGUCCCAAAGUCAUGGUUAAGUGGGAAACGAUGUGGGAAGGCCCAGACAGCCAGGAUGUUGGCUUAGAAGCAGCCAUCAUUUAAAGAAAGCGUAAUAGCUCACUGGUCGAGUCGGCCUGCGCGGAAGAUGUAACGGGGCUAAACCAUGCACCGAAGCUGCGGCAGCGACACUGUGUGUUGUUGGGUAGGGGAGCGU
This 833-nucleotide ribosomal RNA is filed under the name Escherichia coli. Its description in RNAcentral is "partial 23S ribosomal RNA". It matches the Rfam family "Bacterial large subunit ribosomal RNA", at positions 407 to 1239 of the family's 2925-position model. The record is from RNAcentral. Lineage: Bacteria; Pseudomonadati; Pseudomonadota; Gammaproteobacteria; Enterobacterales; Enterobacteriaceae.